GACGAACGCUGGCGGCGUGCUUAACACAUGCAAGUCGAACGGUGAAGCGCCUUCCUUUUUGGUGGGUGUGGGGGAGUGGCGAACGGGUGAGUAACACGUUAGUAACCUGCCCCCUUCUUCUGGAUAACCGCAUGAAAGUGUGGCUAAUACGGGAUAUGCUGGGUCUGUCGCAUGAUGGGUCUGUGGAAGAUUUUGUUUCGGUGUGGGAUGGGCUCGCGGCCUAUCAGCUUGUUGGUGGGGUGAUGGCCUACCAAGGCGGUGGCGGGUAGCCGGCCUGAGAGGGUGGACGGACACACAGGGAGUGAGACACGGCACUGACUCGUGAGGGAGGAGGCGGUGAUGAAUGUUGAUGAGCGGGAGCAAGACUGAUGCAGCGAGGCCGCGUGAGGGAUGGAGGCGUUCGGGUUGUGACUCUCUUUGGGAAGUGAAGGAGGCCUGCCUAGUUUGUGGGUGGGUUGAGGGUAGCUGGAUAAGAAGCGCCGGCUAAUUACGU
RNAcentral lists this ribosomal RNA (493 nucleotides) under uncultured bacterium. RNAcentral describes it as "partial 16S ribosomal RNA". It matches the Rfam family "Bacterial small subunit ribosomal RNA", at positions 28 to 506 of the family's 1533-position model. The record is from RNAcentral.